CGCGUGAGUGAUGAAGGUUUUCGGAUCGUAAAGCUCUGUUGUUAGGGAAGAACAAGUGCCGUUCAAAUAGGGCGGCACCUUGACGGUACCUAACCAGAAAGCCACGGCUAACUACGUGCCAGCAGCCGCGGUAAUACGUAGGUGGCAAGCGUUGUCCGGAAUUAUUGGGCGUAAAGGGCUCGCAGGCGGUUUCUUAAGUCUGAUGUGAAAGCCCCCGGCUCAACCGGGGAGGGUCAUUGGAAACUGGGGAACUUGAGUGCAGAAGAGGAGAGUGGAAUUCCACGUGUAGCGGUGAAAUGCGUAGAGAUGUGGAGGAACACCAGUGGCGAAGGCGACUCUCUGGUCUGUAACUGACGCUGAGGAGCGAAAGCGUGGGGAGCGAACAGGAUUAGAUACCCUGGUAGUCCACGCCGUAAACGAUGAGUGCUAAGUGUUAGGGGGUUUCCGCCCCUUAGUGCUGCAGCUAACGCAUUAAGCACUCCGCCUGGGGAGUACGGUCGCAAGACUGAAACUCAAAGGAAUUGACGGGGGCCCGCACAAGCGGUGGAGCAUGUG
Molecule: ribosomal RNA, 555 nt
Filed under: Williamsia sp. CC-SR4
Lineage: Bacteria; Bacillati; Actinomycetota; Actinomycetes; Mycobacteriales; Nocardiaceae
Description: bacterial SSU rRNA
Rfam family: Bacterial small subunit ribosomal RNA
Source: RNAcentral